GACGAACGCUGGCGGCGUGCUUAACACAUGCAAGUCGAGCGGGGUCCAUCCAGUAGCAAUACUGGUGAAGACCUAGCGGCGAACGGGUGAGUAACACGUGAGCAACCUGCCCCGAAGUCUGGGAUAACACCGGGAAACCGGUGCUAAUACCGGAUCGCCCCAUCUGACCGCAUGAUCGGAUGAGGAAGAAUUUCGCUUCGGGAGGGGCUCGCGGCCUAUCAGCUUGUUGGCGGGGUAACGGCCCACCAAGGCAUCGACGGGUAGCUGGUCUGAGAGGACGACCAGCCACACUGGGACUGAGACACGGGCCCAGACUCCUACGGGAGGCAGCAGUGGGGAAUCUUGCGCAAUGGGCGAAAGCCUGACGCAGCAACGCCGCGUGGGGGAUGAAGGUCUUCGGGUUGUAAACCCCUUUCAG
Molecule: ribosomal RNA, 418 nt
Filed under: uncultured bacterium
Lineage: Bacteria
Description: bacterial SSU rRNA
Rfam family: Bacterial small subunit ribosomal RNA
Source: RNAcentral